This 403-nucleotide ribosomal RNA is filed under the name uncultured bacterium. RNAcentral describes it as "partial 16S ribosomal RNA". It matches the Rfam family "Bacterial small subunit ribosomal RNA", at positions 28 to 526 of the family's 1533-position model. The record is from RNAcentral.
GACGAACGCUGGCGGCGUGCCUAAUACAUGCAAGUCGAACGCAGUGGGGACGGGUGAGUAACACGUGGGUAACCUCCCAUCAGAGGGGAUAACACUUGGAAACAGGUGCUAAACCGAUACUGAUGGAUGGACCCGCGGUGCAUUAGCUAGUUGGUGAGGUAACGGCUAACCAAGGCCACGAUGUAUAGCGCACGUAGGAGGGUGAUGGGCCACACGGGGACGGAGCGGCGGCCCAAACUCCUACGGGAGGCAGCAUUAGGGAAUCUUCGGCAAUGGACGAAAGUCUGGCCGAGCAACGCCGCGUGAGUGAAGAAGGUUUUCGGAUCGUAAAACUCUGUUGUUAGAGAAGCGGUAUCUAACCAGAAAGCCACGGCUAACUACGUGCCAGCAGCCGCGGUAAUUC